ACUUUGGUGCCUGAUUAAAGGGCUGUUUUGAUAGAACAGAUUAUGCUUGAUUGCCCGAGGUG
RNAcentral lists this transfer RNA (62 nucleotides) under Tigriopus californicus. Its description in RNAcentral is "tRNA-Ile". The record is from RNAcentral. Lineage: Eukaryota; Metazoa; Arthropoda; Copepoda; Harpacticoida; Harpacticidae.